UACGGAGGGUGCAAGCGUUAUCCGGAUUCACUGGGUUUAAAGGGCGCGUAGGCGGACAGGUAAGUCAGUGGUGAAAUCUCCGAGCUUAACUCGGAAACUGCCGUUGAUACUAUUUGUCUUGAAUAUUGUGGAGGUAAGCGGAAUAUGUCAUGUAGCGGUGAAAUGCUUAGAUAUGACAUAGAACACCAAUUGCGAAGGCAGCUUACUACACAACAAUUGACGCUGAGGCACGAAAGCGUGGGGAUCAAACAGG
Molecule: ribosomal RNA, 253 nt
Filed under: uncultured bacterium
Lineage: Bacteria
Description: partial 16S ribosomal RNA
Rfam family: Bacterial small subunit ribosomal RNA
Source: RNAcentral